GGGUUGGCAGACGUGAGAAGAAGCGAAGAUGGCGGAGUGAGGAGCGCCUCGGCCAUUCGGCCGUUUGGCCUCUGGGCCGGGGGCGUGCAGGCCCCCGGGAAGCCGACUGCGUCUGAUGGACCAUGUGAGAAUUCUUGUCACACAGGAUGAACACUUUCCUUACAUUUAGGUGCUUUUUAUUCAUCUCAAAAUUCUGAACUCAGGAUGUGGCCGGUAUUUCUAUGUUGUCUUCUAGAGCGGGUAGUCCUGCUUCUUUUAUCCAGCCACUUUCCCUACUGAAAUAUGGAUACCUUUCUACACAUUACCUCCAUGGUUUGGAUUGGAAAAGAUUGCUUUUCUUUUGUUCCACCUUUCAAAUUCAACACAGAAAGAAGCCCUUAGGGUGCAGUUAUCCUGCUGACUUCUC
Non-coding RNA from Urocitellus parryii (Arctic ground squirrel), 406 nucleotides. NCBI's taxonomy places the organism in Eukaryota, Metazoa, Chordata, Mammalia, Rodentia, Sciuridae. The record is from RefSeq and is a predicted model, not a curated record.